Molecule: transfer RNA, 76 nt
Filed under: Microbispora sp. ATCC PTA-5024
Lineage: Bacteria; Bacillati; Actinomycetota; Actinomycetes; Streptosporangiales; Streptosporangiaceae
Description: tRNA-Arg
Rfam family: tRNA
About the family: Transfer RNA (tRNA) molecules are approximately 80 nucleotides in length. Their secondary structure includes four short double-helical elements and three loops (D, anti-codon, and T loops).
Source: RNAcentral
GCCUCCGUAGCUCAGGGGAUAGAGCACCGCUCUCCUAAAGCGGGUGCCGCAGGUUCGAAUCCUGCCGGGGGCACCG